AGAAGUUACAUCCAUCGACACUUUAGUCUAAACCUAUCUGCACGAUCUCUACUUCUACUCUGCGACCGUCAAAUUGAAAAUGCAAUUCCUCCGGUAAAAGCUCAGUCACGGUCGUAGUUCCGUCACCGCUGAAUCAUCAUCAUCCAGGUUCUUACCUUGUGACGUCUCUCACCUUUGUCGAUCCAUCGAGAAUCUACUGUAAAAAAAAUCAGUUCCCGUUGAUGGAGAGAUCGUGAAGAAGGUUGGUCAAUCUGUUUCCUGUAAUCAAAAAAGUGAUUGGUCUUCUGAAGAACUAUGCUUUUGUGUGCGAGCACAACGAGUGUUUGGGAAUAGAUGGACUGAGAUACAAAGGUGGAUUCAGGCAGAAAGGAUAAGGCUGUGAACAGGUUUACGAGACUUCGUGUGAAGAGAGCCAAGCAUGAAACUAUGGCUAGCGA
Long non-coding RNA from Brassica napus (rape), 437 nucleotides. RefSeq lists it as uncharacterized. The transcript is spliced from 3 exons. The record is from RefSeq and is a predicted model, not a curated record. Lineage: Eukaryota; Viridiplantae; Streptophyta; Magnoliopsida; Brassicales; Brassicaceae.